Molecule: ribosomal RNA, 443 nt
Filed under: uncultured bacterium
Lineage: Bacteria
Description: partial 16S ribosomal RNA
Rfam family: Bacterial small subunit ribosomal RNA
Source: RNAcentral
CCUACGGGAGGCAGCAGUGGGGAAUAUUGGGCAAUGGGCGCAAGCCUGACCCAGCAACGCCGCGUGAAGGAAGAAGGCUCUCGGGUUGUAAACUUCUUUUCUCAGGGACGAAGCAAGUGACGGUACCUGAGGAAUAAGCCACGGCUAACUACGUGCCAGCAGCCGCGGUAAUACGUAGGUGGCAAGCGUUAUCCGGAUUUACUGGGUGUAAAGGGCGUGUAGGCGGGGACGCAAGUCAGAUGUGAAAACCACGGGCUCAACCUGUGGCCUGCAUUUGAAACGGGGUUUCUUGAGUACUUGAGAGGGAGGCGGAAGUCGUGGUGUAGCGGUGAAAUGCGUAGAUAUUAGGAAGAACACCGGUGGCGAAGGCAGUCUGCUGGACAGCAACUGACGCUGAGGCGCGAAAGCGUGGGGAGCAAACAGGAUUAGAUACCCUUGUAGUC